Molecule: non-coding RNA, 181 nt
Filed under: Bacillus manliponensis
Lineage: Bacteria; Bacillati; Bacillota; Bacilli; Caryophanales; Bacillaceae
Description: Lysine sequence
Rfam family: Lysine riboswitch aptamer
About the family: Riboswitches are metabolite binding domains within certain messenger RNAs that serve as precision sensors for their corresponding targets. Allosteric rearrangement of mRNA structure is mediated by ligand binding, and this results in modulation of gene expression.
Source: Rfam by way of RNAcentral
CUCAAAGAUAGAGGCCGCGAUAAAAAAGAGUAGGCUAUGGGAGAUAAAGUGGUAUCAAUGAUCAUAGUUCGAAAGGAUUUAUCGCCGAAAUAUAUGAAUGUCCAUAUUGUUCAUAUAUUGGGACUGCAUUGAAUAAAUGUAGUACUGUCGUAAGGGUUACUUAUGGAGAGCUAUUGGGAGA